CAAAUACUCACUCCGUCCCAAAAUUCUUGUUUUAGAUUUAUUUAGAUACGGAUGUAUCUAACAUUAAAUGUGAAUAGAUACAUUCAUAUGUAGACAAAUCUAAGACAAGAAUUUUGGAACGGAGGGAAUACCGG
Non-coding RNA from Triticum aestivum (bread wheat), 134 nucleotides. NCBI's taxonomy places the organism in Eukaryota, Viridiplantae, Streptophyta, Magnoliopsida, Poales, Poaceae. The record is from Rfam.